This 381-nucleotide ribosomal RNA is filed under the name uncultured eukaryote. Its description in RNAcentral is "SSU rRNA". It matches the Rfam family "Eukaryotic small subunit ribosomal RNA", at positions 587 to 972 of the family's 1831-position model. The record is from RNAcentral.
AGCUCCAAUAGCGUAUAUUAAAGUUGUUGCAGUUAGAACGCUCGUAGUCGGAUUUCGGGGCGGGGCGACCGGUCUGCCGAUGGGUACGCACUGGUCGGCGCGUCCUUCCUUCCGGAGACCGUGCCUACUCUUAACUGAGCGGGGGCGGGAGACGGAACGUUUACUUUGAAAAAAUCAGAGUGUUUCAAGCAGGCAGCUCGCUCUUGCAUGGAUUAGCAUGGGAUAAUGAAAUAGGACUUUGGUGCUAUUUUGUUGGUUUCGAACACCGAAGUAAUGAUGAGAAGGGACAGUCAGGGGCAUUUGUAUUCGACCGAGAGAGGUGAAAUUCUCAGACCAGUCGAAGACAAACUACUGCGAAAGCAUCUGCCAGGGAUGUUUUCA